UACAGAGGGUGCGAACGUUGCUCGGAAUUACUGGGCGUAAAGCGCAUGUAGGCGGAUCCAUAAGUCGGGCGUGAAAUCCCCCAGGCUCAACCUGGGAACUGCGCUCGAAACUGUGGGUCUUGAGUGUCGGAGAGGAUGGCGGAAUUCCUGGUGUAGAGGUGAAAUUCGUAGAUAUCAGGAGGAACACCGGUGGCGAAGGCGGGUCUCUGGGCCGAAACUGACGCUGAGGAGCGAAAGCGUGGGGAGCAAAAGGG
Molecule: ribosomal RNA, 254 nt
Filed under: uncultured bacterium
Lineage: Bacteria
Description: partial 16S ribosomal RNA
Rfam family: Bacterial small subunit ribosomal RNA
Source: RNAcentral